RNAcentral lists this long non-coding RNA (577 nucleotides) under Homo sapiens (human). Its description in RNAcentral is "HSALNT0248196". The record is from RNAcentral. Lineage: Eukaryota; Metazoa; Chordata; Mammalia; Primates; Hominidae.
UUUCAAAAGUUAUCUGGGUUUAGAGUGUGAAACUUCGUCGGAGGACACACACCUUGCGUGAAUGAGAUGCCUCGGUGUGUGUGGACAUGUUGGAGGUACAGCAUAAUGGUGGCUUCCUCCAGAAAGGGACAUUUGGGGGAGCACCAAUGGCUCCUGUCUCACAGUGGAUUCAUUCCACCUAGACAACACAGCCUGAUGUGGCAUGGACAUGAAUGGAGGUCAAAUGGGCAGUAGCUGAGAGGAUCAGCCCUGACAAGGGCCAGGGUGAAAGACCUGGGAGUCUCUUCAGGUGCAAAGUCUUCAGUUGAAAAAAGGAGGUGGUCACAGGAGAUACUGAGCUGGAUCAAUAAAGUGCAGGAGAGAGAGUUGUUGGCCCUGGGGAGCGAGUAGUAUGGACUCUUAAGUUUUCUCCUCCUUCCAUUAAUUUCUCUUCCAGUGCAGACUUCAGUCUUAGACUUCCCAGCUGCCUUGAGGGAUUGGAUGAGCCUUGGCCAGCUCUUGAAGGAAACAAUAAAAUCACUUUAAUGUGCUACUUUUCAUUUUGAAGUCAUUACAGUAUCAUUUGCAAAACUCAACA